Molecule: unclassified non-coding RNA, 164 nt
Filed under: uncultured Fusarium
Lineage: Eukaryota; Fungi; Ascomycota; Sordariomycetes; Hypocreales; Nectriaceae
Description: sequence contains ITS1
Source: RNAcentral
UUGAAUAAACUUGCAGGCUGUUUGCUGGUCUCUCCUCUUUGAGACAUACCUUAAUGUUGCCUCGGCGGAUCAGCCCGCGCCCCGUAAAACGGGACGGCCCGCCAGAGGACCCAAACUCUAAUGUUUCUUAUUGUAACUUCUGAGUAAAACAAACAAAUAAAUCA